AAGAUCAUACUUUUAGGGAUCAUUUCUAUAGUAUGCAUCCAGGGAACGUCAGGUAAAACUGACAAACCUCACCACCACGAUGAGGAGCUAAAGCACUCUCUCCUGAGCGCGAAGCGGGCAACGAACUCCAUCCGUCCUCACAGAUGGCAGCUUCACGCCAUUGAUGACCGUUCCUCUCCUCCCUACGUGGAAGAGACGGAGGGAGAGAGUGCAAUCUGAGUGGU
Liolophura sinensis is the source of this 224-nucleotide small nucleolar RNA. RefSeq annotates it as small nucleolar RNA U3. Lineage: Eukaryota; Metazoa; Mollusca; Polyplacophora; Chitonida; Chitonidae. The record is from RefSeq and is a predicted model, not a curated record. The transcript has a single exon.